AGUGAACGCUGGCGGUAGGCCUAACACAUGCAAGUCGAACGGCAGCACAGUAAGAGCUUGCUCUUACGGGUGGCGAGUGGCGGACGGGUGAGGAAUACAUCGGAAUCUACUUUUUCGUGGGGGAUAACGUAGGGAAACUUACGCUAAUACCGCAUACGACCUACGGGUGAAAGCAGGGGAUCUUCGGACCUUGCGCGAUUGAAUGAGCCGAUGUCGGAUUAGCUAGUUGGCGGGGUAAAGGCCCACCAAGGCGACGAUCCGUAGCUGGUCUGAGAGGAUGAUCAGCCACACUGGAACUGAGACACGGUCCAGACUCCUACGGGAGGCAGCAGUGGGGAAUAUUGGACAAUGGGCGCAAGCCUGAUCCAGCAAUACCGCGUGGGUGAAGAAGGCCUUCGGGUUGUAAAGCCCUUUUGUUGGGAAAGAAAAGAAGCAGGUGAAUACCCCGAUGUUCUGACGGUACCCAAAGAAUAAGCACCGGCUAACUUCGUG
RNAcentral lists this ribosomal RNA (492 nucleotides) under uncultured bacterium. RNAcentral describes it as "partial 16S ribosomal RNA". It matches the Rfam family "Bacterial small subunit ribosomal RNA", at positions 29 to 507 of the family's 1533-position model. The record is from RNAcentral.